AAUAGAAUACCCCGGUAGUCCACGCCGUAAACGAUGAGUGCUAAGUGUUGGGGGGUUUCCGCCCCUCAGUGCUGCAGCUAACGCAUUAAGCACUCCGCCUGGGGAGUACGGUCGCAAGACUGAAACUCAAAGGAAUUGACGGGGGCCCGCACAAGCGGUGGAGCAUGUGGUUUAAUUCGAAGCAACGCGAAGAACCUUACCAGGUCUUGACAUCCUGGUGACCACUAUGGAGACAUAGUUUCCCCUUCGGGGGCAACGGUGACAGGUGGUGCAUGGUUGUCGUCAGCUCGUGUCGUGAGAUGUUGGGUUAAGUCCCGCAACGAGCGCAACCCUUAUUCUUAGUUGCCAUCAUUCAGUUGGGCACUCUAAGGAGACUGCCGGUGAUAAACCGGAGGAAGGUGGGGAUGACGUCAAAUCAUCAUGCCCCUUAUGACCUGGGCUACACACGUGCUACAAUGGACGGUACAAACGGUUGCCAACCCGCGAGGGGAGCUAAUCCGAUAAAACCGUUCUCAGUUCGGAUUGUAGGCUGCAACUCGCCUAC
Molecule: ribosomal RNA, 544 nt
Filed under: uncultured bacterium
Lineage: Bacteria
Description: bacterial SSU rRNA
Rfam family: Bacterial small subunit ribosomal RNA
Source: RNAcentral